GGAUGCGAUCAUACCAGCACUAAAGCACCGGAUCCCAUCAGAACUCUGAAGUUAAGCGUGCUUGGGCGAGAGUAGUACUAGGAUGGGUG
This 89-nucleotide ribosomal RNA is filed under the name Triticum dicoccoides. The record is from RNAcentral. Lineage: Eukaryota; Viridiplantae; Streptophyta; Magnoliopsida; Poales; Poaceae.